This is an RNA transcript of Micropterus dolomieu (smallmouth bass), 2649 nucleotides long. RefSeq lists it as uncharacterized. The transcript is spliced from 2 exons. The record is from RefSeq and is a predicted model, not a curated record. Lineage: Eukaryota; Metazoa; Chordata; Actinopteri; Centrarchiformes; Centrarchidae.
GAUAAGCUGGUACAGCUGAUUGCGUUGGUGCAAUGCGUUUUGAUGUGGAGUCAUUUUUGGUAAAUCUGACUCACGACAAAGUUCACGCCUGUAGGAAGGAUGACCUGGUUAAAGUAGCAAGUCACCUCCAGAUUCCGAUAAGUAAAACAACGUUAAAAAGGGAUCUGAAACCAUUAGUUGUAGCUACAUUGUUGGAGAGAGGGCUGCUUGAAUUACCUGUGGCAGUAGAGUUAGAAACGCUUCCUGUGGCUGGCUCCACGGAGACCGAGAGGGUGCAGACCCUUAAGCCACAACCAGUCUCUAGGUGGGACGACGAGGUCGGUGGAGGGUUAAAGACACCAGUCAUGCUGCCACGUUAUGACCCUUCCCCUGAGAGCAGUGCUCGUUCCAGAGAUGGGGCCCGUAUAAAGGUUCGCCUGGCCCACCUCCAGCUUGAGGCCCAAGAAAGGGAACGUCAGCAGCACAUGCAACUUCAGCUUGAAAUCAGAAAGCUGGAGGUAGAGGCUGAUAAGGCUGUAAGGCUACGGAAGCUCGAGCUUGAAAGCUCCCAGGCGAGGCAAAGACCGCCUGCUGCUGCACCAGGUAUAUCAUCCGCCUCCUCCACCCUAAAUUCUGCUAGUCCAAUUUCUCUGGCCUUUGAUGUUAGCAAGCAUAUUGCUCUAGUGCCAUUGUUCCGGGAAUCUGAGGUUGACUCUUACUUUAGUGUAUUUGAGCGCAUUGCAGUUGCCUUACAGUGGCCAACAGAGGUGUGGCCACUACUGCUCCAGUGUAAGCUCCAUGGCAAGGCCCAGGAAGCCAUUGCAGCGCUCUCUUUGGAAGAGAGUUUAGACUAUGAGUCGGUUAAGUCUGCCAUUCUUCGUAUUUACGAACGAGUUCCUGAGGCCUACCGGCAGAAAUUUAGGAGUCAUAGGAAGUCACAGAACCAGACUUGCACUGAGUUUGCAAGAGAGAAGGGGGUGUUAUUUGAUAAAUGGACUUCAGCCUGUUCUGCUGAUAACUACAGUGCUCUGAGAGAGUUGUUACUGGUGGAGGAUUUUAAAAAGAACGUAUUGUGUACCUAAAUGAGCAGAGGGUAACAACUCUAGCUGCUGCCGCAACAACGGCCGAUGAAUAUGUACUAAUCCACAAAACUGUUUACGCUCACUCCCCUGACAGACCACGUAGAGCACCAGUUUCACCUCCCUCUGUCCACAAAACACAGGGUGGGGAGAAGGAGGAAAGGAAAUGUUAUUACUGUCAUCUGACCGGUCAUGUUAUCGCUACCUGCCCGGCCUUGAAACGCAAAGAACAGUCUUCACGCCCUUUCCAGACUAAAGGCGUCGGUUUAAUUAAAACUCAGCGCAGUACAAGAAUUGAGGGUAACAGAUGCGAUGAGUUAGAUGCCUGCUUUAAACCUUUUGUUUUUGAUCCACGUAUUUCACUCACUGGCCUGCCUGUGGAUCAGCGCUCCGUCCGGGUACUGAGGGAUACUGUGUGUUCCCAGUCAGUAAUUUUGACAUCGGCAUUGCCCUUUUCGGAACGUUCAGCUUGUGGGUUCGGUUCAGUGCUCCGCGGCAUUGAGAUGGGUUACGUUCCACGUCCGGUGCACCGCAUCCACAUUCAAUCUGACUUAGUUACAGGGUUCUUUCCUGUUGCUGUUUGUGACGCUCUACCCAUUCAGAGUAUUGUACUUCUACUGGGGAAUGAUAUUGCGGGAGGGAAGGUGACGCCCACGUUGGAGGUGCUGGAUUCUCCUCUGUGCGGCAAGUUCCCCACAGACAAUCUGUCUUCUUCAGUGUUUCCUGCUUGUGUGCUCACUCGUGCACGCACACGGUUGCUCCAGGAUGAGUGCGACAGUUCAGAUGUUUCCUUAAACGACAGUGUACUCAUGCCAAUGUUUUCAGGUGAAACUGAGGUGGUGGGAACCAAGGAGCAGGCCGACGUGCAACCCCUGCCUGAGGCGGUGGAAUCACAGGACCCUCCCGGCUCAGAUUCGCUUCCAGUUACACGAGGGCGCCUGGCAAACGCACAGAGGAGAUCCUACACUGCAGCGUUGUUUCAGAAGUGUGCCUUUCACAGGGUAAACGUUCCAUACUGAGGAUUCUGACUGCAUGUGGUGUCAGUGCUUGGCUGGAUGCAGAGAACGAUGGAGGAAGACUGGUAAUCGGGUUGCAGAACUGAAAGUGGGCCAGUGGCGAUCAAAUGUAAUGGAACAAGCCGGAGGAUCAAUACAAGCCAGUGAUGGCAGACAGACAAAGGUUGUUUAGUAGCAGGCAGCACUAAUUGAAAUCAAUCUCUAAUCUGAUGACAGUUCUUAACCUUUACACCUCUGAGAAUUCUUAAACAAGUGAGAAUCAUGGCGGAGCAGCAGGCAGAGUUUACAAUUACUUUCCCCCACAACACCUUUUGUUUUUCUGCUGAUUCAUACUUUCUACGAUGCCUAACUAAGCCAUUCAAUGAGAUUACAUUGCCCAGGAUCAAUACGGUAGGAGCACUAACACCCUGGUUUAAUGGUGAUUUUGCUCUAUGUGGUGUAUCAUCAAUAAAACCAGGUAAAUGAAAUAUGCAUGUGGACAUUGUAAGAAGUCCAUACUGCAUGUGGAACAUCAUUCAGCUGGUAAUUGAGUAAUUCACUAUGGAAACAGAAGUGUCAAAUAAAGCUGUGUAAUU